This 484-nucleotide ribosomal RNA is filed under the name uncultured bacterium. RNAcentral's name for it is "partial 16S ribosomal RNA". It matches the Rfam family "Bacterial small subunit ribosomal RNA", at positions 30 to 507 of the family's 1533-position model. The record is from RNAcentral.
AUUGAACGCUGGCGGCAGGCCUAACACAUGCAAGUCGAGCGGAUGAAGGGAGCUUGCUCCUGGAUUCAGCGGCGGACGGGUGUGUAAUGCCUAGGAAUCUGCCUGGUAGUGGGGGAUAACGUCCGGAAACGGGCGCUAAUACCGCAUACGUCCUGAGGGAGAAAGUGGGGGAUCUUCGGACCUCACGCUCUCAGAUGAGCCUAGGUCGGAUUAGCUAGUUGGUGGGGUAAAGGCCUACCAAGGCGACGAUCCGUAACUGGUCUGAGAGGAUGAUCAGUCACACUGGAACUGAGACACGGUCCAGACUCCUACGGGAGGCAGCAGUGGGGAAUAUUGGACAAUGGGCGAAAGCCUGAUCCAGCCAUGCCGCGUGUGUGAAGAAGGUCUUCGGAUUGUAAAGCACUUUAAGUUGGGAGGAAGGGCAGUAAGUUAAUACCUUGCUGUUUUGACGUUACCAACAGAAUAAGCACCGGCUAACUACGUG